GACGAACGCGGCGGCGUGCCUAAUACAUGCAAGUAGAACGCUGAAGGAGGAGCUUGCUUCUCUGGAUGAGUUGCGAACGGGUGAGUAACGCGUAGGUAACCUGCCUGGUAGCGGGGGAUAACUAUUGGAAACGAUAGCUGAUACCGCAUAAGAGUAGAUGUUGCAUGACAUUUGCUUAAAAGGUGCAAUUGCAUCACUACCAGAUGGACCUGCGUUGUAUUAGCUAGUUGGUGGGGUAACGGCUCACCAAGGCGACGAUACAUAGCCGACCUGAGAGGGUGAUCGGCCACACUGGGACUGAGACACGGCCCAGACUCCUACGGGAGGCAGCAGUAGGGAAUCUUCGGCAAUGGACGGAAGUCUGACCGAGCAACGCCGCGUGAGUGAAGAAGGUUUUCGGAUCGUAAAGCUCUGUUGUAAGAGAAGAACGAGUGUGAGAGUGGAAAGUCACACUGUGACGUAUCUACCAGAAAGACGCA
RNAcentral lists this ribosomal RNA (479 nucleotides) under Streptococcus mitis. RNAcentral describes it as "bacterial SSU rRNA". It matches the Rfam family "Bacterial small subunit ribosomal RNA", at positions 28 to 495 of the family's 1533-position model. Lineage: Bacteria; Bacillati; Bacillota; Bacilli; Lactobacillales; Streptococcaceae. The record is from RNAcentral.